RNAcentral lists this ribosomal RNA (301 nucleotides) under uncultured bacterium. Its description in RNAcentral is "partial 16S ribosomal RNA". It matches the Rfam family "Bacterial small subunit ribosomal RNA", at positions 510 to 808 of the family's 1533-position model. The record is from RNAcentral.
CGUAGCCGCGGUAAUACGUAGGGUGCGAGCGUUAAUCGGAAUUACUGGGCGUAAAGCGUGCGCAGGCGGUUCGUUAAGACAGAUGUGAAAUCCCCGGGCUUAACCUGGGAACUGCAUUUGUGACUGGCGAGCUAGAGUAUGGCAGAGGGGGGUAGAAUUCCACGUGUAGCAGUGAAAUGCGUAGAGAUGUGGAGGAAUACCGAUGGCGAAGGCAGCCCCCUGGGCCAAUACUGACGCUCAUGCACGAAAGCGUGGGGAGCAAACAGGAUUAGAUACCCCGGUAGUCCCUGUCUCUUAUACA